GUACCGUAUUGAAAGUAUAGUACGAAUAAGGAUCGGCUAACUCCGUGCCAGCAGCCGCGGUAAUACGGAGGAUCCAAGCGUUAUCCGGAUUUAUUGGGUUUAAAGGGUGCGUAGGCGGCAGAUUAAGUUAGAGGUGAAAUUCCGAGGCUCAACCUUGGCACUGCCUCUGAUACUGGUUUGCUAGCGAGUAGAUGCUGUAGGCGGAAUGUGUGGUGUAGCGGUGAAAUGCAUAGAGAUCACACAGAACACCGAUUGCGAAGGCAGCUUACAAAUCUAUAUCGGACGCUGAGGCACGAAAGCGUGGGGAGCAAACAGGAUUAGAUACCCUGGUAGUCCACGCAGUAAACGAUGAUAACUCGUUGUCGGCGAUAUACAGUCGGUGACCAAGCGAAAGCGAUAAGUUAUCCACCUGGGGAGUACGUUCGCAAGAAUG
This 433-nucleotide ribosomal RNA is filed under the name uncultured bacterium. RNAcentral describes it as "bacterial SSU rRNA". It matches the Rfam family "Bacterial small subunit ribosomal RNA", at positions 461 to 896 of the family's 1533-position model. The record is from RNAcentral.